Paramuricea clavata is the source of this 82-nucleotide non-coding RNA. The record is from the annotation of a GenBank genome assembly. Lineage: Eukaryota; Metazoa; Cnidaria; Anthozoa; Malacalcyonacea; Plexauridae.
GCGCUUUAUUUUGUUGAAUGUUUUGAGGAUUUUUGAUAAAAGGAUUUCAAAAAUCCUCAAAACCUUCAACAAGAUAAAGCAA